RNAcentral lists this ribosomal RNA (1217 nucleotides) under bacterium enrichment culture clone E1. RNAcentral's name for it is "bacterial SSU rRNA". It matches the Rfam family "Bacterial small subunit ribosomal RNA", at positions 247 to 1498 of the family's 1533-position model. The record is from RNAcentral.
AGUUGGUGGGGUAACGGCCUACCAAGCCUACGACGGGUAGCUGGUCUGAGAGGAUGGUCAGCCAGACUGGGACUGCGACACGGCCCAGACUCCUACGGGAGGCAGCAAUUAGGAAUCUUGCGCAAUGGGGGAAACCCUGACGCAGCGACGCCGCGUGGUGGAUGAAGGCCUACGGGUUGUAAACACCUUUUACAGAGGAUCAACACUGAGGGUACUUUGUGAAUAAGCACCCGCUAACUAUGUGCCAGAAGCGUCGGUGAUACAUAGGGUGCUAGCGUUAUCCGGAAUCACUGGGCGUAAAGAGACGCGUAGGCGUUUUUGUAAGUUACUUGUUAAAGCUCUCUACUCAAUGGAGAAAGAGCAAGUAAUACUGCAUUAAUUGAGACAAAAAGGGGAGAGGGGAAUUCCUGGUGGAGCGGUGAAAUGCGUUGAUAUCAGGAGGAACACCAAGAGCGAAGGCACCUCUCUGGUUUUAGUCUGACGCUAAGGCUCGAAAGCGUGGGGAGCAAAACGGAUUAGAUACCCGUGUAGUCCACGCUGUAAACUAUCCUCGCUAGAUGUUCGACGAAUUUGAAUUGGGUGUCACAGCUAACGCAUUAAGCGAGGCGUCUGAGUAGUACGACCGCAAGGUUAAAACUUAAAGGAAUUGACGGGGACCCGCACAAGCGGUGGAGCGCGUGCUUUAGUUCGAUGUUAAACGAAGAACCUUACCAAGGCUUGACAUAUAGCUGCAAUUCUAUCGAAGAUGGUUUGGUGCUCGAAAGAGAACCUGCACACAGGUACUGCAUGGCUGUCGUCAGCUCGUGUCGUGAGAUGUUGGGUUAAGCCCCGCAACGAGCGCAACCCCUAUCCUUAGUUAAAUAUUUCUGAGGAGACCGCCCUGCCAAAACGGGGAGGAAGGUGGGGAUGAGGUCUAGUCUUCAUAGCCUUUAUGUCUUGGGCAACACACACGCUACAAUGGAAAGUACAAAGGGUCGCCAAGCUGCAAAGCGGAGCUAAUCCCAUAAAACUUUCCUCAGUUCAGAUUGUAGGCUGAAAUUCGCCUAUAUGAAGUCGGAAUCGCUAGUAAUCGUGGAUCAGCAUGCCACGGUGAAUACGUUCUCGGGUCUUGUACACACCGCCUGUCAUGUUAUGGAAGUCGGUAGUACCCGAAUCCCGUAAAUUGAUUCUACGGGAGAAGGUAAGACUGAUGACUGUAAUAAAGUCGUAACAAGGUA